RNAcentral lists this ribosomal RNA (495 nucleotides) under uncultured bacterium. Its description in RNAcentral is "bacterial SSU rRNA". It matches the Rfam family "Bacterial small subunit ribosomal RNA", at positions 899 to 1397 of the family's 1533-position model. The record is from RNAcentral.
ACUCAAAGGAAUAGACGGGGGCCCGCACAAGCAGUGGAGUAUGUGGUUUAAUUCGAAGCAACGCGAAGAACCUUACCAGGGCUUGACAUCCACGGAAGACUCAGAGAUGAGUUGUGCCGCAAGGAGCCGUGAGACAGGUGGUGCAUGGUUGUCGUCAGCUCGUGUCGUGAGAUGUUGGGUUAAGUCCCGCAACGAGCGCAACCCUUAUCGUCAGUUGCCAUCAUUCAGUUGGGCACUCUGGCGAGACUGCCGGUGACAAAUCGGAGGAAGGUGGGGACGACGUCAAAUCAUCAUGCCCCUUAUGUCCUGGGCUACACACGUACUACAAUGGCCGUUAACAGAGGGACGCCAGGCAGCGAUGCCGAGCAAAUCCCCAAAAACGGUCUCAGUUCAGAUUGCAGGCUGAAACCCGCCUGCAUGAAGUCGGAAUUGCUAGUAAUCGCGAAUCAGCAUGUCGCGGUGAAUACGUUCCCGGGCCUUGUACACACCGCCCGU